RNAcentral lists this ribosomal RNA (393 nucleotides) under uncultured bacterium. RNAcentral's name for it is "partial 16S ribosomal RNA". It matches the Rfam family "Bacterial small subunit ribosomal RNA", at positions 523 to 918 of the family's 1533-position model. The record is from RNAcentral.
AUACGGAGGACGCGAGCGUUAUCCGGAUUCAUUGGGUUUAAAGGGUGCGCAGGCGGCCGUGCAAGUCAGCGGUGAAAGCCCGGGGCUCAACCCCGGAAGUGCCGUUGAUACUGCAUGGCUGGAAUGCGGUCGAGGCGGGCGGAACGUGGCGUGUAGCGGUGAAAUGCGUAGAAAUGCCACAGAACGCCGAUGGCGGAGGCGGCGGGCCGGGCUGGCAUUGACGCUGGGGCAGGAAAGGGUGGGGAUGGAACAGGUUUAGAUCCCCUGGUAGUCCCCGCCGUAAACGAUGGGCGCUCGUCGUCGGCGGCAGACAGUCGGCGGCCAAGCGAAAGCGAUAAGCGCCCCGCCUGGGGAGUACGGUCGCAAGGCUGAAACUCAAAUGAAUUGACGGGG